Molecule: ribosomal RNA, 497 nt
Filed under: Photobacterium sp. 3T1,1 8
Lineage: Bacteria; Pseudomonadati; Pseudomonadota; Gammaproteobacteria; Vibrionales; Vibrionaceae
Description: bacterial SSU rRNA
Rfam family: Bacterial small subunit ribosomal RNA
Source: RNAcentral
CCUGAUGCAGCCAUGCCGCGUGUGUGAAGAAGGCCUUCGGGUUGUAAAGCACUUUCAGUCGUGAGGAAGGCAUAUGCGUUAAUAGCGCAUGUGUUUGACGUUAGCGACAGAAGAAGCACCGGCUAACUCCGUGCCAGCAGCCGCGGUAAUACGGAGGGUGCGAGCGUUAAUCGGAAUUACUGGGCGUAAAGCGCAUGCAGGCGGCUUGUUAAGCCAGAUGUGAAAGCCCGGGGCUCAACCUCGGAAUAGCAUUUGGAACUGGCAGGCUAGAGUCUUGUAGAGGGGGGUAGAAUUUCAGGUGUAGCGGUGAAAUGCGUAGAGAUCUGAAGGAAUACCGGUGGCGAAGGCGGCCCCCUGGACAAAGACUGACGCUCAGAUGCGAAAGCGUGGGGAGCAAACAGGAUUAGAUACCCUGGUAGUCCACGCCGUAAACGAUGUCUACGGUUGGUGUCUUGAACACUGGCUUUCGGAGCUAACGCGUUAAGUAGACCGCCUGG